Molecule: non-coding RNA, 107 nt
Organism: Erinaceus europaeus (western European hedgehog)
Lineage: Eukaryota; Metazoa; Chordata; Mammalia; Eulipotyphla; Erinaceidae
Source: Rfam
GUGCUCGUUUUGGCAGCACAUGUACAAAAAUUGGGACGAUACAGAGAAAAUUAGCAAGGCCCCUGUUCAAGGAGAACACAGAAAUUCAUGAAGUGGUCCAUAUUUUU